GGAGACCACCUUAAUAAUAAUCAGUGAGCGGUAGGCUCCUUCGGGAGUACACGAGCGGCGAACGGGUGAGUAACACGUGAGCAAUCUGCCCUUCUCAUCGGAAUAACCAUUGGAAACGAUGGCUAAUGCCGAAUAUGACCUCGGAACACAUGUUCUGAGGUGGAAAGCUCCGGCGGAGAAGGAUGAGCUCGCGGCCUAUCAGCUUGUUGGUGAGGUAAUGGCUCACCAAGGCAUUGACGGGUAGCCGGCCUGAGAGGGUGACCGGCCACACUGGGACUGAGACACGGCCCAGACUCCUACGGGAGGCAGCAGUGGGGAAUAUUGGACAAUGGGCGAAAGCCUGAUCCAGCAACGCCGCGUGAGGGAUGACGGCCUUCGGGUUGUAAACCUCUUUCAGCAGGGACGAAGCGAAAGUGACGGUACCUGCAGAAGAAGGACCGGCCAACUACGUGCCAGCAGCCGCGGUAAUACGUAGGGUCCGAGCGUUGUCCGGAAUUAUUGGGCGUAAAGGGCUCGUAGGCGGUUUGUCACGUCGGGAGUGAAAACUCAGGGCUCAACCCUGAGCGUGCUUCCGAUACGGGCAGACUAGAGGUAUGCAGGGGAGAACGGAAUUCCUGGUGUAGCGGUGGAAUGCGCAGAUAUCAGGAGGAACACCGGUGGCGAAGGCGGUUCUCUGGGCAUUACCUGACGCUGAGGAGCGAAAGCAUGGGGAGCGAACAGGAUUAGAUACCCUGGUAGUCCAUGCCGUAAACGUUGGGCGCUAGGUGUUGGGACCUUCCACGGUCUCCGUGCCGCAGCUAACGCAUUAAGCGCC
RNAcentral lists this ribosomal RNA (814 nucleotides) under uncultured bacterium. RNAcentral's name for it is "bacterial SSU rRNA". It matches the Rfam family "Bacterial small subunit ribosomal RNA", at positions 38 to 868 of the family's 1533-position model. The record is from RNAcentral.